CUAUCUGUGUCAUGAAUGCUAUCCGUCAUGACGGAAAAAAUGAAAGCAUCUUAAACAAAGAUAAUGCAUCAGUGAUUUUUCUUUUCUUAGUUUUAUCAUUUUUGAUUUUUAUUAAAUAAAGUCGAGUGUUAAAGGAUUCGUAAACUCAUUAGAAACCGAAAGAUGAUGAAUUAUAUUCGAGUAGGAUGAAGCCAGAAGAAGCUUUGAUCGAAGCCCAAAGCGAUUCUGAUGUGUAAAUCGAUCGCUUGACAUUGGUGUAGGAGCGAAAGAGACUAAUCGAAUAAUCUAGUAGCUGGUUUCCUCUGAAGGAUAGCUGGAAUACAUAAUGAAGCUGUUACAUUCGGUAAAGCGAAUAUGAUUGGACAAAUUAUGAGGCGAAAUGUCUUCAACUUAUUCGCAAACUUUCAAUAAAUAUGACGUCUUGCUUGCUUGAAUGAAGUGUUGACAUUGAAUGUGUUAGCCCACUUGAGCUAUUUAUCGUAAACAAAAUUGGCGCUGUUAGGAUGAACCAAAUGUUGUAAAUUAGAAGUAAAAAAAAAAGAAUUUCUGCAGAAAAUAUUUAAAACAAAUUGGAAGUCAAAAAGAAUUUCAAAAUUUCUUAUGUAAAUGUUGUGUAUGAAUGAUUUUUU
Non-coding RNA from Onchocerca ochengi, 629 nucleotides. NCBI's taxonomy places the organism in Eukaryota, Metazoa, Nematoda, Chromadorea, Rhabditida, Onchocercidae. The record is from Rfam.